Molecule: ribosomal RNA, 406 nt
Filed under: uncultured bacterium
Lineage: Bacteria
Description: partial 16S ribosomal RNA
Rfam family: Bacterial small subunit ribosomal RNA
Source: RNAcentral
AUUGAACGCUGGCGGCAGGCCUAACACAUGCAAGUCGAACGCGUGGCGGACGGGAGAGUUAUGUCUGGGACACCGCCUGAUGGAGGGGGAUAACUACUGGAAACGGUAUCUAAUACCGCAUACUAUCGGAUGUGCCCAGAUGGGAUUCGCUAGUAGGUGGGGUAACGGCUCACCUAGGCGACGAUCCCUAGCUGGUCUGAGAGGAUGACCAGCCACACUGGAACUGAGACACGGUCCAGACUCCUACGGGAGGCAGCAGUGGGGAAUAUUGCACAAUGGGCGCAAGCCUGAUGCAGCCAUGCCGCGUGUAUGAAGAAGGCCUUCGGGUUGUAAAGUACUUUCAGCGGGGAGGCGUUACCCGCAGAAGAAGCACCGGCUAACUCCGUGCCAGCAGCCGCGGUAAUUC